This 68-nucleotide transfer RNA is filed under the name Hemigrapsus sanguineus. Its description in RNAcentral is "tRNA-Ile". Lineage: Eukaryota; Metazoa; Arthropoda; Malacostraca; Decapoda; Varunidae. The record is from RNAcentral.
AAUAUAGUGCCUGAUUAAAGGAUAGUUUUGAUAGAACUAAUCAAGUAAUAUGCUCAUUACCUAUAUUG